Molecule: long non-coding RNA, 1694 nt
Filed under: Homo sapiens (human)
Lineage: Eukaryota; Metazoa; Chordata; Mammalia; Primates; Hominidae
Description: HSALNT0353018
Source: RNAcentral
AGAGCUAUAGGCAGUGAGCUGAGGCAGGAAUCAGAUGGCUUUACCCAUGGAGAUUUUUGUUGCUGGCUAAUUUGCUACAUAUUCUUAGAACUGGUUUGAUUAAGAAAAAAAGCUGUUGGUGUGGUGACUGGAAGUCUAACAACAAUCACCACAAUAGAUAUCUGCAGCCCUGAAACCAAUUUUCAGGCUUGAAUUUCUUUUACUUUUCUUCUUUCUUUCUUAUUGUGUGUCUCCAAGUCCUGAGUCUACUGGGGUUAUGUAGAAAAAAAGUUUUAAACAUUUUUUUGGGAAAUAAUUGCAAAGUUACAGCUAAAUUAUAAGAAAAAAAGAAGAGUUCUACACUUUGGGAGGCCGAGGCGGGUGGAUCAUGAGGUCAGGAGAUCGAGACCAUCCUGGCUAACAAGGUGAAACCCCGUCUCUACUAAAAAUACAAAAAAUUAGCCGGGCGCGGUGGCGGGCGCCUGUAGUCCCAGCUACUCGGGAGGCUGAGGCAGGAGAAUGGCGUGAACCCGGGAAGCAGAGCUUGCAGUGAGCCGAGAUUGCGCCACUGCAGUCCGCAGUCCGACCUGGGCGACAGAGCGAGACUCCGUCUCAAAAAAAAAAAAAAAAAAAAAAAAAAGAAGAGUUCUAUACCUUUUUACCCAGGUUCUCAAAUGUUUAACAUUUUAUCAGAUUUGUUUUCUAUAUAUACAUAUAAUUAUCAAUAUUUUUCCUUAAGCUUUGAGAAUAAGUUGCAUACAACAUGGUCCUUUACUUCUCUAAGUACUUCAGAGUAUAUUCAUUCACAAAGUAGAUACUCCAGUACGUACAGAGUUUAUCAACGUGAACAAAUUUAACAUUACUAAAGAAAUUUUAUUGAAUCUUCUUUCUGCAUGACAAUUCUGUCAAUUUACCCAGUAAUGUCCUUUAUAGCACUGUCUUCCCUGGAGUACUGGUCUACCAUAAGACCGCAUCUCAUACAGUAUGUUUCUGUAGUCUCCUUUAACAUUUGAAAUUUUCCAGCAAAUUUUUGCCUUUUAGAAUACUGAUCUGUUUUUUAGAAAUAUACUUCAGGCCAUUUGUAAACCCUAUUUUCUCACCUGAAACUUCUCUCUCUAGAUCUUACCUAUGUUCAAACUUUGAAGGGUAUUUUUAGAUCUAAGAGAUCUGGGUCUUUAAAGUCAGUCUUGGCCAGAAUCAGGCUGCAAAUGCCAAAGCAAGAGAUGUCAGCAAUGAGUUGCAGGUCUUUGCCAAACAGAGCAUCAUCUGGCAGUGAAAGGAGAGCAGAAGAGGGGAUUUUGAAGUCUUCCUGCACACUUCCGACAACUUGAUUGAACUGGACGCCCUUGGAAGUUCAUGGCAUCGCCUAUAACAGAGUCUGUGUAGGCAAAACCCCAGCCUAUGCUGGAAUUUAACUCUUAAAAAGCAACCUAAGUAGAACACAAGAUUGUAAACUCUAAGGAGAUUCUAACACCAAAAGAAAGUAUGACUUGAGCCAAUGAAAUGCCAAAAUCCAGUUCUAGCUGACAACGUCAGUAGUGGAGGACAGACUUCCACUUGCCAUUUGAGGAAAAAGCAUGUGGAUUCAUGAGCAUAACAGCAGAUACCCCACUACCAAUUACCAAAUCCUGUGCACAUUCCUGUUCUCCAGUCACCUUUUCUCCAUAAAUGUUUGUGGUAUAAAAUGAAAACCUUCCCAAAUAUUAACCAGUCAA